CUGACUAUUGCAGCUGAAAAUGCGUGCCAAGUCUGCAGACACAGAGGAAUAACUUUUCCAUGUAGGUUGAGCUUGUCUAAGCUUUUGUGGUACAAAGAAGCACGGCAAGGUGAUGGAACAGCUUGUCCUAGAUGCCAUGGCCAAGCAGUUGGAGAAGAAGAAGAUCAUCAGGAAUAGUCAGCAUGGAUUUAGCAAGGGGAAAGUGUGCUUGAGCAACCUCCUAGGCUUCUGUGAGGCAUCAGCAGCUAUAUAGAUGGCGGGAGAGCAAUGGAUGUAGUCUACCUUGACUUCAGCACUGCUUUUGAUGCAGUCUCCCACGACAUCCUGAAGUGCAGUGUUUCAGAAGAGAGAAAAACAAACAUGGCGGCCAUGAGCUGGCUUUCUGUG
This is a long non-coding RNA of Gallus gallus (chicken), 387 nucleotides long. RefSeq lists it as uncharacterized. The record is from RefSeq and is a predicted model, not a curated record. The transcript has 3 exons. Lineage: Eukaryota; Metazoa; Chordata; Aves; Galliformes; Phasianidae.